GACGAACGCUGGCGGCGUGCUUAACACAUGCAAGUCGAACGGAAAGGCCCUGCUUUUGUGGGGUGCUCGAGUGGCGAACGGGUGAGUAACACGUGAGUAACCUGCCCUUGACUUUGGGAUAACUUCAGGAAACUGGGGCUAAUACCGGAUAGGAGCUCCUGCUGCAUGGUGGGGGUUGGAAAGUUUCGGCGGUUGGGGAUGGACUCGCGGCUUAUCAGCUUGUUGGUGGGGUAGUGGCUUACCAAGGCUUUGACGGGUAGCCGGCCUGAGAGGGUGACCGGCCACAUUGGGACUGAGAUACGGCCCAGACUCCUACGGGAGGCAGCAGUGGGGAAUAUUGCACAAUGGGCCGAAGCCUGAUGCAGCAACGCCGCGUGCGGGAUGACGGCCUUCGGGUUGUAAACCGCUUUCGCCUGUGACGAAGCGUGAGUGACGGUAAUGGAUAAAGAAGCACCGGCUAACUACGUG
This 468-nucleotide ribosomal RNA is filed under the name uncultured bacterium. Its description in RNAcentral is "partial 16S ribosomal RNA". It matches the Rfam family "Bacterial small subunit ribosomal RNA", at positions 28 to 507 of the family's 1533-position model. The record is from RNAcentral.